Molecule: long non-coding RNA, 2133 nt
Organism: Gasterosteus aculeatus aculeatus (three-spined stickleback)
Lineage: Eukaryota; Metazoa; Chordata; Actinopteri; Perciformes; Gasterosteidae
Source: Ensembl
CCCCCCGCUGUCUUUCUUUUCACAGGUGAAUUACGGAGGAGGAAUUUGCUGCUGGCACUUUGGUCUUCUUCUUCUAUGAUUCUGAGGCAGCUGCGGAGCAAAUGGAUGGGUGGUGGCCCGCGCUGUCACUCAAACGAGACCGACCGCUUUCACCGGGGCUCGAAACCUGCAACAGAACCCCCUGAUUGGAGCACCAGCUUUUAAAAACAAAAAUGACAAUGUGCACUAAUCAUUUUCACCAGCUCAGGUCGGUGGAGCGUUGCACGGCUGACAUGUUUGUUAAUGUGGGUUCCCUGAAGGAAACAAGGUAGCCAUCAAGGCAACUAAAUGAGCCAGAAACAGAGGAGUUUAAUGUGCGCCGUAAUGAGCGCCUAAGUUUGAUGUGAAAACAAAGCCAUGAUUAAAGUGAAGCCCCGGCCAACAGCUGGCCGUCGUAUGGGGACUGAACCCCGGUCAGGGAGUUGGGAUUGGCUUUGUGUAAAUCCUUGAUUAUUUAAAUACAGUGUGCAGAAAACCAUCCCACCUCCGUGGACAGGGCGGCGCGUGGCUCCUUCGUCCCUCUUUAUCUUUCGAUUUCUUUAAUUACAGACUUUUACCGUCAGCUUCCCAGAAAAAACAAACUCCUACGGCACAUGAAAAGAAGUCACACACACACCACGCACACCACGCACACCACGCACACCUACCCCAGCUCCACUCAGUCAGUAUGGCGCUUUGAUUCUGUGCCUGCCGGUGAUCUGUCUCUUAUCGCCCCCCCCCUCCUCCCUCCCUCUGAUCCCUUGUUCCCCUCUUCAGCUGCGCCGGGGCAGAACAUCUCCCUGUCUCUGUUUAUUCUGCAGUGGUUGUAGGUGGGAAGCCUGAUCUGCAACCAUGAAUCCGUCUGUAUGUCUUACUGCUGCUGUCAGAACAAGUGAAAUCAUAAGAUCAAUCGGAUCGUUCGCUUAGUCCGAGCAGCUCGUCAUGACGAAUGAAGGGAUCUUCGAGGCACAAAGCCUCAUCAGCCCAUUGAAAAAGUAAAGACUCGAGUUAAUCACUUACUUAGAGGCUUGAGAGUUGCAAACCGACCGAAGCAUCAAUGCCUACUUCUGGUAAUGUGCACUUUUAACCUGCCACCAGCAACAGGGCGGAUCCCACACCAGGUCCUGCAACCAAUCCGCACAGGUGCCUCCGCCGACAACACAACGCCCCACCAGCCAUUACUCCACCAGAAGACACCACAAUUUGGUUUUCAGCACACAACAAUUUACAUUGCUUUCGUCUUGCAGAAACUCUUAUAUAUGAAUCAUGAAUUCCAAUUUUUCAGGAUCUCCCCGACUACUUCUGCUUUUGCACAAUGUAAGGCACGGAGUGCCGGAUCUUCCACCGCAGUCUCUGCAGAGAAUAAAAAGACGAGUAACUGAAGGAGGGUGCAGAGGAUUCUUUAGCAAGUGAGGCGACAAUUUGAUUGAACUGGUUCCCUGAGGCCUGCAUGCAUUUCUACAGUGGAUUUAGUGGUGGUUUGCCUGCCUGCAUGGGUAUAUGACAAUGGUGAGAGUGAAAGCCAUGAUUAGAAACGGCUUACUCUUCUGGCACUAUAUGAACACUUGAACGUAAUGAGAUGCAGCUAUCUCCUCCUUUUUAUGGGGACGUUCUGUGAGUCCUGGUGCUUGUGUUAUGUAGCAGUAUUUGUGUUGUCAGAUGCCUUUUGUUUGCUCUUUUCGAGAACACCUUGCAUCAACCUGGGCCCUACAGACUAUCAGCGUCAAAUACGGAACCUCGGGAUACGGAUUUAGAAUAUACUGCUAAUCAUAGAUCAAACUUUAGCCUGGACUUUAUCAGGGAAUUAUAUCUUUGUUCAUCUAUAGCGAGCAUGGUAAGAUCCCACUGAAACGUAAAACAUGUUAAUCUCAUUUAUCAAAUUGUCACAUUUGAUGUUUUUCUAUAAAAGAAAAGAAUAAUGCACAUCAUAGGAACUACUCCUUUCUUUAACUAGUAGACCUUAAAUGAGUAUUUAUGUGAAGUCUCUGUGCCAAAAAAAGUAAAUGUGAGAGCCCCUGUAGGGAUGAAAUUGACACUGACAUUUUGGAUCAUGACAAUGAAUCAUUUGCUCAGAUGAUUAUUACAGUUGACUUAAAAUGUAAACGAUUCUUGCAC